Molossus molossus (Pallas's mastiff bat) is the source of this 107-nucleotide small nuclear RNA. Lineage: Eukaryota; Metazoa; Chordata; Mammalia; Chiroptera; Molossidae. The record is from RefSeq and is a predicted model, not a curated record.
GUGUUCAUGUUGGUAGCACAUUUACUGAAAUUGGAAUGAUACAGAGUAGAUCAGCAUGGUCCCUGCAGAAACAUGACAUGCAAAUUCAUGAAGCAUUCUGUAUUUUU